RNAcentral lists this ribosomal RNA (751 nucleotides) under uncultured Actinomyces sp. RNAcentral's name for it is "bacterial SSU rRNA". It matches the Rfam family "Bacterial small subunit ribosomal RNA", at positions 28 to 776 of the family's 1533-position model. Lineage: Bacteria; Bacillati; Actinomycetota; Actinomycetes; Actinomycetales; Actinomycetaceae. The record is from RNAcentral.
GACGAGCGCUGGCGGCGUGCUUAACACAUGCAAGUCGAACGCUGAAGCCCAGCUUGCUGGGUGGAUGAGUGGCGAACGGGUGAGUAACACGUGAGUAACCUGCCCCCUUCUUUGGGAUAACGCCCGGAAACGGGUGCUAAUACUGGAUAUUCACUGGCCUUCGCAUGGGGGUUGGUGGAAAGGUUUGUUCUGGUGGGGGAUGGGCUCGCGGCCUAUCAGCUUGUUGGUGGGGUGAUGGCCUACCAAGGCUUUGACGGGUAGCCGGCCUGAGAGGGUGACCGGUCACAUUGGGACUGAGAUACGGCCCAGACUCCUACGGGAGGCAGCAGUGGGGAAUAUUGCACAAUGGGCGAAAGCCUGAUGCAGCGACGCCGCGUGAGGGAUGGAGGCCUUCGGGUUGUAAACCUCUUUCGCUCAUGGUCAAGCCGCAACUGUGGGUUGUGGUGAGGGUAGUGGGUAAAGAAGCGCCGGCUAACUACGUGCCAGCAGCCGCGGUAAUACGUAGGGCGCGAGCGUUGUCCGGAAUUAUUGGGCGUAAAGGGCUUGUAGGCGGUUGGUCGCGUCUGCCGUGAAAUCCUCUGGCUUAACUGGGGGCGUGCGGUGGGUACGGGCUGACUUGAGUGCGGUAGGGGAGACUGGAACUCCUGGUGUAGCGGUGGAAUGCGCAGAUAUCAGGAAGAACACCGGUGGCGAAGGCGGGUCUCUGGGCCGUUACUGACGCUGAGGAGCGAAAGCGUGGGGAGCGAACAGG